RNAcentral lists this ribosomal RNA (252 nucleotides) under uncultured prokaryote. RNAcentral describes it as "partial 16S ribosomal RNA". It matches the Rfam family "Bacterial small subunit ribosomal RNA", at positions 525 to 776 of the family's 1533-position model. The record is from RNAcentral.
AUACGGGGGGCAAGCGUUGUUCGGAAUUACUGGGCGUAAAGGGCGCGUAGGCGGCCUGCUAAGUCACACGUGAAAUCCCCCGGCUCAACCGGGGAACUGCGUGUGAUACUGGCGGGCUCGAAUUCGGGAGAGGGAUGUGGAAUUCCAGGUGUAGCGGUGAAAUGCGUAGAUAUCUGGAGGAACACCGGUGGCGAAGGCGGCAUCCUGGACCGACAUUGACGCUGAUGCGCGAAAGCUAGGGUAGCAAACGGG